Molecule: ribosomal RNA, 462 nt
Filed under: uncultured bacterium
Lineage: Bacteria
Description: SSU rRNA
Rfam family: Bacterial small subunit ribosomal RNA
Source: RNAcentral
AGAACGAACGCUGGCGGCAGGCUUAACACAUGCAAGUCGAACGCCCCGCAAGGGGAGUGGCAGACGGGUGAGUAACGCGUGGGAAUCUACCCAGAUCUUCGGAACAACUGAGGGAAACUUCAGCUAAUACCGGAUACGCCCUACGGGGGAAAGAUUUAUCGGUUCUGGAUGAGCCCGCGUUGGAUUAGCUAGUUGGUGGGGUAAUGGCCUACCAAGGCGACGAUCCAUAGCUGGUCUGAGAGGAUGAUCAGCCACACUGGGACUGAGACACGGCCCAGACUCCUACGGGAGGCAGCAGUGGGGAAUAUUGGACAAUGGGCGGAAGCCUGAUCCAGCAACGCCGCGUGAGGGAUGACGGCCUUCGGGUUGUAAACCUCUUUCACCAUUGACGAAGUUGCAUCUUUUUGGGUGUGGUGACGGUAGGUGGGAAGAAGCACCGGCCAACUACGUGCCAGCAGCCGC